AAAAAAAAAUCAAAUAAUUAUGUGUUUAGUUGGUGUUACGGGGAGAUUCCCUUCGUUCUCUUUGAACGCUUCUGUUGGCUCCUUCCAUUUCGAUGUGUGUGUUUUAACACACACACACACACACAAGAGGAUGAACUUUCCCUUUGUCUGUGUUACCUGUGCACGAUACCGUUAAAUAAGAGGAACAGUUAUCGAGACUAGAUGGAGUUGGCUUUCAAUUCAGCUCGGACGUAUACUCAUCCUUGACGGCCAUGACACACUUUGUGUGUCGCCGUUUGGGGUUGGAAGACGCGAGAAUCGAUCGACGGCCCAUGGACCGUCGUGACCCGCCGCCAGGAGGCACCAGCGAACGAUUCAAGAGUUAAAGACAAAACACAUUUCAAUUUUCAAGAACCAAUGGAAACAAGGGCAAACACACUUUCAUUUCACGUUUCCGAAAUUGAACAGCAGACACGAGAGGAGAACAACCUGGAGCUGAGAGACGUGUGCGGAUCGAUCCAGCCCAAGUCUCUCCAGAGAGGUCACAUUGCGCUCCACUUCUUGUCUGUCCCGUUUUAUUCUUUACUCCUCCUCUUGUCUCGUCUCUUUACGUAUAGAUCCUCUCUUUUUUAAGGCUCGGAUUGACACACAAACAUUGACACACAUAUUCAGGUUACACGUCCAGCUUGUGUUCUCAGAGCCUCCUUCUUUAAUGAUUACAUAGCGUCUUAUGAAGUCAGCUAUAAAAAGAUGAAUGGAAAGGACAGGAUCUAUAUACGCGACAGCCGGAUGAUUCACCAUGUCACAGCUCGGCGAUUGUUAAUGUGAUGCUCAAUGCCGUUGCUCUUGAUGUUGACGUCUAGCAUUAAGCGGGUUCAUGUUAACGUUCUUUUCACAAAGAAGUUCACGUCCCUCCUACACCCGUCGGCAGCCAAUAACGAGAUGUCUACACAAAUGUGGUGUUAGUUUAUUUAACUGUUCAAGGUUCUGUUUCUUCGUCUCUGACCUAUUGACCUCAAUUUGCCAUUAUCAUUUGAUUCAUUUCUUUACACGAGAAAGAUCGGCUGAAUCGAUCCCAGUGACGUCUAUCUGCAUUCGUAAUGUGGAAGAUGUGGGGGUGCCAUUUUCAAUGGAAUAUCAUGGCCCUGCGGGAGUUUCACCCCCCCUCCUUAUAAAUGUUUUCUCUCUUUGAUUGUGACGCACGUGCUCUAUACUCGCAAAACAAUUUUUUUUUUUCGAUCUUAUCAUCUCUCACUCUCUUCAAUUGCUGCAAUGUAGCGGUGGCGCUGUUCUAAUUGGACUGUCUAACGUGUCACGCGUUUUUCACCUGUGUCGGGGCAAAUGGCGGAUCUGCGCGCGCUCCCGCAGGGGGAGAUUAUUUCCGCAACAAACUUUUUUUUUUUUUUGUGCUUUUUAUUUGUUUUUUUUUUAAAGAUCCCACCCUCCUUUCUCCCCUCCCGCCCUGAUUUCGCUUCGGACGUGCCGCCAAUCCCGCACGAAGAGGUGGGCGUCACCCUUUUUUUCACGAACGGCGUGCGAAAUUUCGUGAGCGCAUGAUCCUGACGGGGUUGGAACAUUUAUCGGUUUUGUUCGGGAGCUCUCCCGCUCACGCCCACAUCUCCUCCCCCUUCGCGUGUGCGGAUCUGUCCGACACGAGCAGCGAUCCACGCACGUCAAGGUUAAAAUGGAAGGGACAGCAGCAGGUCCUGCGCGUUCCUUUAGUUUUCUCUCCGCUCUGUUCAUCCCCUUCCUCCUUUUUAUUUAUUUUUAUUUUUAUUUUUUGACUGUGCGUUCGUGACGUCGGUCGGAGAGGGCGUUGACUAAAAACGGAACACGCUCCGCUUUGGCCGCAAUAUCGACGGAGGGUCCCGCAGUCUCGAACGGCCAAGCGAAACGGUGAAAACGGACCGGCCGGAUCUGCAGGAAGCAGCUCCCCCCCUCUCAUCCAACGAAACCAAAUUUUGGUUUAGUUUUUUGUUUUGGUUUAGUUUUUGUUUUUGUUAUAAUUUCUUCCGGUGGCGGAAUUGUUUAUCUUCUUACUGACGCAAUUCUGACGCUGACGCAUUGCCAGACGCUGCCGUUUGAUUUUCGUCCUAUGCUGCAGGCCAUCCGCCAUUCUCUCGUCUACAAUCUGCGUUACAAAGGACCUUUGACGAAGAGUUGGACGGGCUUCACAUCAUCAGGACGAAUCAACUCGAACCCCAGCAUCCGUACGAGUUUCAUCGACAACAUGAGUUUAGAACUGCUUUUAUUUUUCACGA
RNAcentral lists this unclassified non-coding RNA (2240 nucleotides) under Daphnia magna. RNAcentral's name for it is "vesicular acetylcholine transporter-like, transcript variant X2". Lineage: Eukaryota; Metazoa; Arthropoda; Branchiopoda; Diplostraca; Daphniidae. The record is from RNAcentral.